RNAcentral lists this ribosomal RNA (403 nucleotides) under uncultured bacterium. RNAcentral describes it as "partial 16S ribosomal RNA". It matches the Rfam family "Bacterial small subunit ribosomal RNA", at positions 30 to 526 of the family's 1533-position model. The record is from RNAcentral.
AUUGAACGCUGGCGGCAGGCAUAACACAUGCAAGUCGAGCGAGCGGCGGACGGGUGAGUAAUGUAUGGGGACUGCCCGAUAGAGGGGGAUAACUACUGGAAACGGUGGCUAAUCCCGCAUACUAUCGGAUAACACCUAUGGGAUUAGCUAGGAGGGGGGGAAAAGGCUCACCUAGGCGACGAUCUCUAGCUGGCCUGAGAGGAGGAUCAGCCACACUGGGACGUAGACACGGCCCAGACUCCUACGGAGGCAGCAGUGGGGAAUAUUGCACAAUGGGCGCAAGCCUGAUGCAUCCAUGCCGCGUGUAUUAAGAAGGCCUUAGGGUUUUAAAGUACUGUCAGCGGGGAGGCGUUACCCGCAGAAGAAGCACCGGCUAACUCCGUGCCAGCAGCCGCGGUAAUUC